CAGCACUUCAUUUCAUAUAAAGUUUUUACAAAUUCAGUGUAGAAAGUCUGUCCACAGAAUGUCAGUCGCAAAACGUGAGAAAAAACACCAGAAUCGUGCGCAUACAAUUCGCCAUAGAAAAAUCGCACUGAUGCGCAGUCAUUUCAUGAAGUUCCGCAUGCGCUAUCCGGGAAAGCUAUCGAAACCUAAUGAUGCUAAUGAAGAAAGAGGAAAGCUGCCAGGAUUCCGUCAUCCCAAGCUUUUCCCCAACAAGUCCACCGUUUUUUUUUAAUUUUGUAAAAGCUUAAAUUUGCUUCAAAGUUGUGCAAUUAAUCGUAUCAUAUGUAUAUGAUAUUUCACUAUA
Long non-coding RNA from Drosophila subobscura, 343 nucleotides. RefSeq lists it as uncharacterized. The record is from RefSeq and is a predicted model, not a curated record. The transcript is spliced from 2 exons. Lineage: Eukaryota; Metazoa; Arthropoda; Insecta; Diptera; Drosophilidae.